This 75-nucleotide transfer RNA is filed under the name Cordylochernes scorpioides. RNAcentral's name for it is "tRNA-Thr". It matches the Rfam family "tRNA". From Rfam's summary of the family: Transfer RNA (tRNA) molecules are approximately 80 nucleotides in length. Their secondary structure includes four short double-helical elements and three loops (D, anti-codon, and T loops). The record is from RNAcentral. Lineage: Eukaryota; Metazoa; Arthropoda; Arachnida; Pseudoscorpiones; Chernetidae.
GUCUAGGGUAGCCUAGUGGACAUGGCAUCUGCCCGGUAAGCGGAACACUGUGGGUUCGAAUCCCAUUCCUCGACA